UUUAUACAUCCGGUGAAAUAUCUGUCUCAUUGUUCCAUCUGUGCUCAUAUCCCCCAUGGACUGGUUUGUACAUAAAAUAUUCUCCAUUCAUGCUGCAAAGUGGAGUUCUGCUACCCGACAUUAAACUUCACGUUAGGGGAGACAUGCAGUACCAGCAAAUCUUCUGCAAGAGGUCCAAAAAAGUUGGUGGUUAAGAAGACCUACACCGCAUUCGGUAGAGUGUUAUCCAGCUGGCCGUUCACCGCAGACAGGACAAGACCAUUCGCCAUAAGCACAAAGAGUCUCAGCUUCCCCAGCCCACCAUGCCAAACAUCAUUGCCAGUGUACCGAAGCCGGAUAAAGGACUAUCGCUGCGUUUACACAAGCAGCCAAAUUCUGAUAUUUUUUUGUGACUAAUUGGUAUUUUGACCAAUUAGAUCGGUUCUGAAAAAUAUCUGAUGUGAUUAAGACCAAUUAGUGGGAAAAAGAUCAGAAUUAGGCUGCCUGUGUAAACAAAGCCAGUAUUGCUCAGCAUAAGACCGUGUAGAACCACCAUCAAAUAAAUAUGGUAUUUUCUAUCAA
Oncorhynchus mykiss (rainbow trout) is the source of this 561-nucleotide long non-coding RNA. RefSeq lists it as uncharacterized. The record is from RefSeq and is a predicted model, not a curated record. NCBI's taxonomy places the organism in Eukaryota, Metazoa, Chordata, Actinopteri, Salmoniformes, Salmonidae.